AUUCCCGCCUCAGUUUGCUCACGGGAACCCCCGCACGCUGCUCAUUUUCUCCAGGAGCUGUCACCCUGUCUCUCUCUCCUCCUCUCUCUCUCUCUCAAACUGACACACACACCAAGUAGCUCGAGCCCCAGUGGAGACGCUGCUGACGCUCUGCUCGCUCCACCGACAACACCGAGUCACGUUCUGUUCUUCUCUCGCUACACAGACAACACCAAAUCACGUUCUGUUCUUCUCUCGCUCCACCGACAACACAAAGUCACGGUAUGUUCUUCUCUGGCAGAACCGGAGAGCGAAAGCCUUUUAGGAUUCUAUCUAUCGCGUGUGAUAUUUGGAGCUGAACGACCGGUCGUGACGGAGGACGCGAGGGGAAAUACAAAAAAAGAGCGAAAGGGAGAAAAGAAAAGGUGGUGUCCUCCCAUCAGAAACACUCUGAGAGCAGCUUGACAGCACAGGACGGAAGGAGGGAGGGAGGGAGAGAGAGAGAGAGAGAGAGAGAGAGAGAGAGAGAGAGAGAGAGAGAGAGCCGACCAUCUGUGAAUCACAUCAAGGCAGCUGUGGUUAGAGUGGACUGCAGUUAUUUUACGAACGAGAGGCGGAGAGGGGGAUAGAAGUGGAGAGAAGGAGAGGGGAUAGAAGUUGAGAGAAGGAGAGGUGGAUAGAAGUUGAGAGAAGGAGAGGUGGAUAGAAGUGGAGAGAAGGAGAGGGGGAUAGAAGUGGAGAGAAGGAGAGGGGAUAGAAGUGGAGAGAAGGAGAUGGGGAUAGAAGUGGAGAGAAGGAGAGGGGGAUAGAAGUGGAGAGAAGGAGGGGGGGGUAGAAGUGGAGAGAAGGAGGGGGGAUAGAAGUGGAGAGAAGGAGAGGGGGAUAGAAGUGGAGAGAAGGAGAGGGGGAUAGAAGUGGAGAGAAGGAGAGGGGGAUAGAAGUGGAGAGAAGGAGGGGGGGAUAGAAGUGGAGAGAAGGAGAGGGGAUAGAAGUGGAGAGAAGGAGAGGGGGAUAGAAGUGGAGAGAAGGAGAGGGGGAUAGAAGUGGAGAGAAGGAGAGGGGGAUAGAAGUGGAGAGAAGGAGAGGGGGAUAGAAGUGGAGAGAAGGAGAGGGGAUAGAAGUGGAGAGAAGGAGGGGGGGAUAGAAGAGAGAAAUGGAGAGAGAAGGACAAAAGGAGAGGGGGCCUGGGUGAGUUUCCAAGCCCAGGACGGUGAACCCUGAUCGGGGGGUUAGACCAGGCCUCUGGAGUUCCUUUGGAGAGAUGAGGACCUCUGAGAAGACAGUGUUUAGACACAGGUGAAAAUGAAAUGAAUCCUGACUCUAAUGGAUCCUGUGAUUACAACAUGGAUUGACCUUUUCUUCUUCUGAUCUGAAGGAAUAUUUUAGUUUUUUAUGUGGACGUUUUUCUGUGUGGAAAUGUGUCUAUUUUUUCUGCAUGAAUUUGGAGUUUCAAAUCUUUCUGGUGUGGAUUUUAAGGAGGCUGUUCAGUUGACUCUGGAUCUGAAACUGCCUCCACUCAUCUGAAGGGAUUUAAACAAUAACUAUUUUGGCCUUGGAUUUUUUUCACGUUGUGUAUUUUUCCAAUAUGUUUUUUUCCCGUGCAGUAGUUGAGACUGCUUUGUAACCUUGGUAACCAAGCGGUAACCAG
Long non-coding RNA from Oncorhynchus kisutch (coho salmon), 1627 nucleotides. The record is from Ensembl. NCBI's taxonomy places the organism in Eukaryota, Metazoa, Chordata, Actinopteri, Salmoniformes, Salmonidae.